GCGCCCGUAGCUCAGUUGGAUAGAGCAUGGGAUUUCUAAUCCCAGGGUCACUGGUUCGAGUCCAGUCGGGCGUA
This 74-nucleotide transfer RNA is filed under the name Planctomycetota bacterium. RNAcentral describes it as "Planctomycetes bacterium tRNA-Arg". It matches the Rfam family "tRNA". From Rfam's summary of the family: Transfer RNA (tRNA) molecules are approximately 80 nucleotides in length. Lineage: Bacteria; Pseudomonadati; Planctomycetota. The record is from RNAcentral.